Molecule: long non-coding RNA, 867 nt
Filed under: Coffea arabica (coffee)
Lineage: Eukaryota; Viridiplantae; Streptophyta; Magnoliopsida; Gentianales; Rubiaceae
Description: long non-coding RNA (CARA_LNC001285)
Source: RNAcentral
CGAGAAGAGUAAAGAAAAUCUGGGGAAAGAGACGAAGGAAAACAAAAUUUUCUGCACAAACCUUUGGAACAAGGCUGGAUUUCCGUCACCUUGCAGUGCGCUUUUCUCCAUCGGAGAGAUCUCUUCUGGGGAAUCUCUUGCUUUCUGCAUCUUCUCUGAUCAUUAAAGGACAACUUUGGUGUUGAGUAGCUUCCAUAAAAACGGCCACAAGACCUUCAAAGUUCAGCUCUAAGUCUGCCCGUCACUAGUUUUGAAUCUUCGUCGGCGAGAAUUUGCAGCUUCGAACCUCUACAACGGAAGCAAUCUUUUCAUCCGCUCUGUGUUCCUGUUUCCACCAGAAGUUAAAGGUAAUCUUUUGUAUCCUUAGUUGCUCAUACAUCAUCAGAAUGGACACACAAAAACGUAGAAAAAUUUGGCUACUGGUAUAAUGAACAUGUCUUGAAAUCCUGCGAUGAACAUGUAUCAGUUCCUGGGUCGCUAUUUUUUCGUGUUUGUACAAUAUUGCUGCUGGGUGGGGUGUUAACUGGAAUAGGCUACGGACUGUAGUUUAGUAGUAAAGAUUUUAACUUUGAGAAGGAAAUAACUUUUCCUUGGCUGAUUCAUUCGUUUCUGCAUCUGAAGCCACAUGUCGGAUAGUUGCAGAAAGUUUCCAGCUUUGCACGCUCUUUGUUCUGACUUUUUGGCAUGUGUAGAUCUAGAGUUGGGUUCUGUUUUAACUUGGGUUUUAGGCAAGAAAACAUAGGAAGUCUAUCUUGGUACAUCAUUAGCAAGUUUGGUUGGAGUUCAUGAUAUGGUUAGUUGCUUUGCUUGCUUAAUUCGUGCGAUGCUUGCUGAGAAUGAACUCAGGAGCACAUCAAAGCUUCGUGG